CAGUAGCCACGGUAAUACGAAGGGUGCAAGCGUUAAUCGGAAUUACUGGGCGUAAAGCGUGCGUAGGCGGUUUGUUAAGUCUGUUGUGAGAUCCCCGGGCUCAACCUGGGAAUGGCAAUGGAUACUGGCAAGCUAGAGUGUGUCAGAGGAUGGUAGAAUUCCCGGUGUAGCGGUGAAAUGCGUAGAGAUCGGGAGGAACAUCAGUGGCGAAGGCGGCCAUCUGGGACAACACUGACGCUGAGGCACGAAAGCGUGGGGAGCAAACAGGAUUAGAUACCCCGGUAGUCCCUGUCUCUUAUAC
Molecule: ribosomal RNA, 301 nt
Filed under: uncultured bacterium
Lineage: Bacteria
Description: partial 16S ribosomal RNA
Rfam family: Bacterial small subunit ribosomal RNA
Source: RNAcentral